This 653-nucleotide RNase P RNA is filed under the name Acidobacteria bacterium 13_2_20CM_58_27. Its description in RNAcentral is "RNase P RNA component class A". It matches the Rfam family "Bacterial RNase P class A". From Rfam's summary of the family: Ribonuclease P (RNase P) is a ubiquitous endoribonuclease, found in archaea, bacteria and eukarya as well as chloroplasts and mitochondria. Its best characterised activity is the generation of mature 5'-ends of tRNAs by cleaving the 5'-leader elements of precursor-tRNAs. Cellular RNase Ps are ribonucleoproteins. The record is from RNAcentral. Lineage: Bacteria; Pseudomonadati; Acidobacteriota. RNAcentral also lists the same sequence under 1 other name.
CGGGUGAGCCGGGUGAUCGCUGGCUAGAGCCGAGAAGUGGCAGCGUAAAGCCGCCGUUACGAGGCCGAAGCGGGAGGAAAGUCCGGACACCGUCCUGAGGCAUGGCAGGUGCGCGAGCGCCGGCCAGCACUCAUGACAUGGGCGACGCGCCUGAUAACGUCAGGGGGCUGGCCACGCAGGCUCUGCCGCGAGGCAGAGUUGCACGCGAAAGCGCGCAGCAUUCCGGUUAGACCGAAACGCGGUGCGGCUAAGCUACGGAUAGUGCCACAGAGAAUAGACCGCCGGCGGAGCGAGCACGGUGGCAGUCACGGAGGGAAAACCUUCGAGACGCUGACGCAAAGCACGCAACGUUUGGCAAGGGUGAAAAGGUGGGGUAAGAGCCCACCGCUCCGGUGGUGACGCCGGAGGCACGGAAAACCCCGCGCGGUGCAAGGCCAAAUAGGAGGGGAGAGCCGGCCCGGCUCGUUGAGCACAUCUUCUUGCGAAGACGUGCUCCGUUCAUUGCGGAGAAAGCCGCGGCGAACGAAAACCCUCGGGUAGGCUGCUCGAGUUACGGUGCGAACCGUGACCUAGAAGAAUGAUCGCCGCGGUGCGCCUUUCGUUUCGCGAAUGGCGCACUCGACAGAAUCCGGCUUAUAUGGCUCAUCCGCUUC